ACGGAAGGCAGCAGUGGGGGAUAUUGCACAAUGGGGGAAGCCCUGAUGCAGCGACGCCGCGUGAGUGAUGAAGUAUUUCGGUAUGUAAAGCUCUAUCAGCAGGGAAGAUAAUGACGGUACCUGACUAAGAAGCCCCGGCUAACUACGUGCCAGCAGCCGCGGUAGUACGUAGGUUGCAAGCGUUGUCCGGAUUUACUGGGUGUAAAGGGCGUGUAGGCGGAGCUGCAAGUCAGAUGUGAAAUCCCGGGGCUCAACCCCGGAACUGCAUUUGAAACUGUAGCCCUUGAGUAUCGGAGAGGCAAGCGGAAUUCCUAGUGUAGCGGUGAAAUGCGUAGAUAUUAGGAGGAACACCAGUGGCGAAGGCGGCUUGCUGGACGACAACUGACGCUGAGGCGCGAAAGCGUGGGGAGCAAACAGGAUUAGAUACCCUGGUA
This 434-nucleotide ribosomal RNA is filed under the name uncultured Lachnospiraceae bacterium. Its description in RNAcentral is "partial 16S ribosomal RNA". It matches the Rfam family "Bacterial small subunit ribosomal RNA", at positions 341 to 792 of the family's 1533-position model. The record is from RNAcentral. Lineage: Bacteria; Bacillati; Bacillota; Clostridia; Lachnospirales; Lachnospiraceae.